CUCAGAUUAGUUUGACGUUAUUUUAUAUACGCCGAUUGAUCUACGCAGCGCCGCAUAAAGUCGCAGACACUUCAAGAUACUUCUGGACAUCGUUAAUGAGAUUAAUUAGUGCUGCCCAAAUGCAGCACCGUCUGUCAACAGAGGGCGCCAAAGCGCAAAACAUCUCGUCUAAUAACACAGCACAAUCUGUGGAUUUUAACGACUGAAUACAAUAUGGAUUUCAACCAACCACCGAAACAUUAACGGGAACAAAAACAGAAGAGUGAGUUUUAAUUACUCACCUCUGCAUUGACAGAUCAGGUGUGCGUACCUGGAUCCCCAGGUUAAAUUCCAGAGGGAAAGGUCAAGGUAAAAAGGGAAACCUCAUCAGGAAGAGAGUCAAGCCCAACUAUGAGGGAUAAGAUGUAAUGGAAAUAGGAUGGAUGAAGUGGCAGGAAAAGGAACGAGAAAAAAGCAUACUACCUCAGUUUCACCAGGGUAAUCUGUUGGUAAG
This is a long non-coding RNA of Misgurnus anguillicaudatus (oriental weatherfish), 493 nucleotides long. RefSeq lists it as uncharacterized. The record is from RefSeq and is a predicted model, not a curated record. Lineage: Eukaryota; Metazoa; Chordata; Actinopteri; Cypriniformes; Cobitidae.